RNAcentral lists this unclassified non-coding RNA (376 nucleotides) under soil metagenome. Its description in RNAcentral is "partial contains 5.8S ribosomal RNA, internal transcribed spacer 2, and large subunit ribosomal RNA". The stretch from base 1 to 120 matches the Rfam family "5.8S ribosomal RNA", at positions 35 to 154 of the family's 154-position model. The record is from RNAcentral.
GAUGAAGAACGUAGCGAAAUGCGAUAAGUAAUGUGAAUUGCAGAAUUCAGUGAAUCAUCGAAUCUUUGAACGCAUCUUGCGCUCCUUGGUAUUCUGAGGAGCAUGCCUGUUUGAGUGUCAUUAAAUUCUCAACUACACUGACUUUGAAUUGGUGUGGCUUGGAUUUGGGGGGAAAAUUGUUGUGGGCUUUUUGUAUAGUCUGCUCCCCUGAAAUUGAUUAGCGGUACCUUUGUGGAACUGUCUACAGGUGUGAUAAUUAUCUACAUCUUAGACAUCUGCUGGAAUGCUGCUUUCUAAACCUUACUUGUAUUGACAAUCUUGACCUCACAUCAGGUAGGACUACCCGCUGAACUUAAGCAUAUCAAUAAGCGGAGGA